RNAcentral lists this unclassified non-coding RNA (1600 nucleotides) under Zerene cesonia (dogface butterfly). RNAcentral's name for it is "tropomodulin-1, transcript variant X5". Lineage: Eukaryota; Metazoa; Arthropoda; Insecta; Lepidoptera; Pieridae. The record is from RNAcentral.
CCGUCUCCGCCGUGCAAUUUAAUAACACAAUCGUAAAUGAAGUAACCCGCCCUAAGGCGCUAUAGACUAUCGGUGGACAGUCCCAAUAAUGGAUACAAAACGAUGUUGAUCGAGUGCCUCUGUGAAUCAGUGAUUUAAUGUGUGAAAUUGGGUGAUUGUGACGAGUUCAUUUAGGCAAAAUGACGGAAUUCUUUGGCUCUUGGAGCAAUAAAGAUGACGAAGGCGAAGAAGUUGAGGAAACAGUGGAGACUGUGGAAACAGUCACCACAACUAGGACCACAAGGAAGCAAUCGCACGUGCCGUCUAAGUCGUCAAGUACGAAGACGACAACAAUGACGACACCGGCCAAACUAUACGGAAGAGAAUUGUCGACAUACGAUGAAAUCGAUGUUGAUGAGUUACUGGCCAAACUGUCGCAGGAAGAGCUGACUAUGCUCGCCAAGGAAGUGGAUCCAGACGACACCUUUUUACCGCCCUCACAAAGGACAAAUUAUGCUUGUGAAAAAGAUCCCACUGGCCCAUUGAACCGUAAGAAGUUAAUUGAACACAUAAACAAACAAGCCCUUGAGACACCUGACCGUCCAGAGGUGAAGCCCUAUGUCGCUGGUGUCAUUAGAGGGAAGAAGUGGAUCCCACCACCACCACCAGAGAAGAUUCGCGAUGCCGAUGAACAAAUAACAAUUGAUCUCGGUGAUGAAUAUGAACAAGCCCUUAGUAGCGCCUCGCAAGAGGAAAUUAUCGACCUUGCCGCUAUUCUUGGUUUCCAUUCUAUGAUGAAUCAGGACCAGUAUCACGCCUCAUUACUGAACAAGGGACAACCUGUUGGUCUUGGGUGGGAUGGUAUCACUAAAGCUACUAAACCUAAGGUAUAUCCAAUGGACCCGCCAAAUGACGCUGAUCCUGACGACACCAUCAAAAGGGUUCAAGAGAAUGACCAGAAAUUCACAGAUCUCAAUUGGAAUAAUAUUAAGAACAUAAGCGACGAGAAAUUCGAGAAGCUCUUCGAAGGGCUCAAGACGAACACUCACCUCGAAGUCCUGUCUCUGGUGAAUGUCGGUCUCAACGAUCGCACCGCUCAGUUGCUGGCCGAUGCUCUCGAGAUGAACUCCACCCUCCGAGUGGUGAACGUGGAGACGAACUUCAUCAGCCCCGCUGGUGUGGUGCAGCUGGUGAAAGCUCUGCUCACUACUACUACGGUGGAGGAGUUUAGGGCUUCUAACCAGCGGUCGCAAGUGCUCGGCAACAAGAUCGAAAUGGAGAUCACAAAGCUGGUGGAGGCCAACCCGACGCUGCUGCGGCUCGGGCUGCACCUGGAGUACAGCGACGCGCGCCACCGCGUCGCCAGCCACCUGCAGAGGAACAUCGACAGAAUACGGAAAGACCUAACGCUCCGACUCCAGUUCAGGUUCUUUAACAACCUGCAAAAGGGGGCGCGUAGCCAAUAGAACUCUGUUAAGUACGCCAGCAGCGACGGAGCCAAAAUAGCGCUUAGAUGACGCAUCGUAACUUGUGGUGGGAGGGUUCUGCGCUUGACUCGAUUCACUCGCAGCCGCAGCUACGUAGUGGGUUGGAUCCCGUGAAUCCAUAGAUUUUCAUACCG